Molecule: ribosomal RNA, 252 nt
Filed under: uncultured Oscillospira sp.
Lineage: Bacteria; Bacillati; Bacillota; Clostridia; Eubacteriales; Oscillospiraceae
Description: partial 16S ribosomal RNA
Rfam family: Bacterial small subunit ribosomal RNA
Source: RNAcentral
UACGGAGGAUGCGAGCGUUAUCCGGAUUUAUUGGGUUUAAAGGGUGCGUAGGCGGAGUGUCAAGUCAGCGGUAAAAUUUCGGGGCUCAACCCCGUCGUGCCGUUGAAACUGCUUCCCUUGAGUAUCGGAGAGGUAACCGGAAUUCCUAGUGUAGCGGUGAAAUGCGUAGAUAUUAGGAAGAACACCAGUGGCGAAGGCGGGUUACUGGACGACAACUGACGGUGAGGCGCGAAAGCGUGGGGAGCAAACAGG